This 2991-nucleotide long non-coding RNA is filed under the name Sus scrofa (pig). RNAcentral describes it as "lncRNA (ENSSSCG00065026191.1)". The record is from RNAcentral. Lineage: Eukaryota; Metazoa; Chordata; Mammalia; Artiodactyla; Suidae.
GCAGAGCCGGGAACAAAGUUUGGUGUAAGAGGGGAAGGAGUUUUCCAGCGGCGCUGUGGGAAACCAGGUGGACCGGGAGGCCGAUUUGCUUUACUUUGGAGCGAGAGAGGCCUGCCUUCCGGAGCCCCAGCUUGCCUGCCACUCCCUCAGCGGAGAUUGGCCUGACCCCCACUCUCUGGAUCCUGUAUUCGCCAGGCAGCUUCUUCUCUUUACUCCACCUUCGGCACCCGGGUGUCCACCCAGGGGACCUUCCUUCCCCGAGCCUGGCACUGCCCGGAGCUCAAACUUGACCCAAACUCUUUGUCCCUCUUCCCGGAGCCGGCGCGUGGGGGUGCAGGGGUCCCGACUGCGCGCAGGACGUCGCCCGGCCGAGCGCCUGCCAGGGCGAUUCGGAGUGGCGGAGACAGAAAGCCCGUUUUAUCACACCCUCUUUUAAAGAAGGUGAAAUAAGUUGUUCGGGGCCAUUCCAAGCAGGGGCCUGCUGGCGACGCGUGCCCUUGGGGGGAAAGAACUCCUACGCGAGUUAACUCCCCCGCUCACCCUCAGGCUUCCGACUCUGGCCCCAGUUUGGCCUUUGAGAUUCAUUCUCAUUCUCUCUCUCUCUCUCUCUCUCUCUCUCUCUCUCUCUCUCUCUCUCUCUCUCACACACACACAUACACACACACACACACACACAGAGAGAGUCAUCCACCCCCUUAUGAAAUCUGACUCCUGUUUAUCAGGGUCCCGCGCGCCCUUUGCACUUCUACGUUUCACCUAAUUAUUUCAGACUUGAUCCUGACGCGGAACGAGGGGAAAAAAACCCAACACCCUAGCCUUCACAAGCUUCCCUCGAAGGGUUAAAUUUUAAACCGCGGUUUCUGGACGGGCCCGGAAACCCAGAGUGGGGGUGGGGUGGGGUGAGGUGGGGGCUACUUCUCCCCCUCCGGUUGCAGAUGUUAAUAACUAUUCAAUUUUCUAGAUCGAUUCUUCUAAAGCUUAUGCAAAAAAAAAAAAAAGAAGAAGAAGAAAAAGAAGAAAAAAGAAAGAACCAACAAUUCUGUUUCUAAGAUUUUAAAGCGAUAGGCCAGUCGGAGACGCCGAGAUUUAUUUGAGGGAAAGCAAGAGUGCGCGAAGCGGACCCAGCGUUUGGAAGACCGGCCCGCUUGCUUGGAUGUUGGACUGUUGAUUUCUCCAAUUAAUGAAAUGCGUUUGGUGUUAAUCAUAUUUAUUUUAUGGAAGGGGGAGACGCUAGGAGGGUGUAUUUAAAAAAAAAUCUUAAAAGCCUGCAAAACGAUCGAAGAGUGAAAACUAUUGUUGGAACGAGUUGGUUUUUACCUCAACAGCGCCACCUUUCGGCAAAGAAGCCAGAGGACACAGGAGCCUUCUGAGUGUAAUUCUGGCCGAGAGACUUUUUGCAAGAGGAUCCCGUGUAACAAGCAAAGCCCGAUACCCUUUAAAAAUGCCAGGAUGGAUUUUCAGCGGGCUUUAUGGCAAUAUCAAUAGAAUGAAAGUUACUUGUAAUUCAGUGAUAAAUGAGAUGUCUCUAGUAAGUAAGAUUAAGUGCAGUGCUAUAAAGUUGUUUAUCUGAAAAGUAAUUCUCAGAAAACCUGACUUCUGACACUUAGUCAUAUAUUAAGCCAGCUUCUUGAACAUUGCACUUCAGAAUCCUCUCACCCACCCAACAGCAUAACUUUACUAUUUAUAACGAGACCUUAGGUGUCACUCAUUGGCUCCUUAGACCAGAGUCGUCUUGUGUUAAUUUCUCCCAUGCUGGCAGCCUUGGGUUUUCUGCAACCCUGGGAAUCCCUAACAAGAGACUCCCCAAAAGGUUUACCCUAAAAGGCCAGCACUGUUGGUACUUUCCAGAAAAGCACUUUUUCCUUUCAUCAUUACUGCAGAGAAGCUGUUUAUAGGAGUAGUUUUGGUUUUAUGGGAGUACUUUGUUGGGAUGGAAUGAGGUAUGCUGUUACCAGUUUGGGGAAGAAAGAGUGAAGAUUAUGUCAAUAUUUAUGCAACCUAACAGAAUUCCUUUGCUUUCCUCCCCUCAAACAGUAUUUUACGUAGUAAUGAAGUUAAGGGAUUAUAGCCUAUGUAUUCAGAGGGAAAUUUAACUGCUUCAGUUACACAAACAUAUUAUGUCAUUUAACAGUGUCCAUAGCAAUAAUUUUUCUAAGGCUUGUAAAAAAAAUCAUUAGCCACAAAUGUCUGAAGCUGAUAUUUUUCAUGUAAAAUAUGAAUUUCAGUAUAUUUAGGAAAAAAUCUUUUUUUGUUUAUAAAAAUUUUUUUAUCCUUUUGCAUCAGUUUUGGUACAAGCUGUGAGAUAUAUUUCCUGCCUCUCAUGAAAGUAUUUUUUUUUCAGUCAGGAACACUGAAACAUUCAUAAAUAAACAACAUUUAUAAACAAAGUUCACUAAUGAUGAAGACCAUGGGAUACAGAUUCAUGGCCAUGCACCUAAUUGUUGCAAUUAUGUAUCAUUUCUAGAAAUUAAAAUGCCCAUGUUUGGCCAGCUAAACGUAUUAUUAUCUGCACAUUUUUCUGGUUUAUUUUUGUACACUGCUGUCAAGCCAGGGUAUUUUUCUUUCUCUUAUUGCAGAGUCUUUUAUAGUCUCCUAUUUUCUUUUGGGGAAAAAAAAAAAAUCCAAAUCUUUUUUGUUUUGUUUUGACAUGGAGCAGUGGUCCUCUCAGGCUUAUAACUUAAUUCUCAUUUUUGUCCUUUUUACUUUAUUAUUUAGUGAUUCACAGGGGUGUCUAAACAUUUACAGUUCUCUGUUAGCAGCGUUUCUCUUGUAACAAUGGAGCUCUCUCAUUUUAAUUAGUACUAUUCAGGUUUUUGAGUCUCUACAAUUACAGCAGGCCACAUUGCUCUAAAUUUCUUUGCUAACAUUGUUUGUUUCACUUCUAUCCAAGCCAAUCUAAUCCAAAUACAAUAUGAACUGUGUUUUCUUACUGCUUAAUAUCCCCUUGCUAUAUAUACUCUAGUAAUCUCUGUAGAACAAUAUAGAGUAAUU